UCAUCUUACUGCUUUGACAUUCACUGUACUGGUGUAAACUGGUUACUUUUGAAGUUUUAUUUUUAAUAUUUACGCAUUGCCCUUUAUUUGACAUGAUUGAGUGUAACAAUCUCAAACAAAGUUUCGGGGCAUUUCCCGGUCUAGCAAGAAAUAUGGAUAUGAAGGCGAUAAGAAAGGCGAAACUGGCAAGGAAAAUAGAUUGACUGUGAGCUGAAAGCAGGGAACAGAGAGAAGAAUGUGCAGAUUAGCCGAACAGCAAGCUUAAAGUUUCAAUAAAGAAUGUGAGCCAAAGAUGACCAUGAUAAAAUAUGAGUAUUGUCAGAUUUGAUAUGAAGCUCGGCAGUAUAAUGUGUGGUAUGAAAUAUGAAGAAACUGGUACUUCUGGUUAAAACAAUGCAUCUGUUAGAGGCAACAAGACUUUGUUCAAGACGUGUCAAAUUUGAGUCAACCAAAAGACAUUCUGGCGACGGGGCGACUUUCUUAUUGAGAGGAACAAGAACUUUGAGUAAGUUUUGUUAUAUUUUCUGAUCCUUAGGAUUAAAGAUAACAUUAGUUUUUACUGUUAUAGAAUUCCGCAUAAGCCGGUGCUACAGGGAUUGAGGUGUGUUGUUAAUUUAAUUACCUCUCAUGAACAGACUCCAUAAUAAGUCUGCUAUUAUGUUGUUUGAAUGCGUUCUAUGCUUCCAAACGAUCUUUCACAAAUUUUAGUAAUUAGAAAGCAAUUAAAAAAACUGGUUGACACAUUAAAAAAAGAAGCAUUGAAGACCCCAAGGAAAAUUUCAUUUUGCUCUGUUUUUUGCAUCUACG
Mercenaria mercenaria is the source of this 807-nucleotide long non-coding RNA. RefSeq lists it as uncharacterized. The transcript has 3 exons. The record is from RefSeq and is a predicted model, not a curated record. NCBI's taxonomy places the organism in Eukaryota, Metazoa, Mollusca, Bivalvia, Venerida, Veneridae.